UACAGAGGAGCCAAGCGUUGUCCGGAUUGACUGGGCGUAAAGCGCACUCAGGCGGACGCGCGCGUGGGGUGUGAAAUCUGGCCGCUUAACGGCCAGGCGCCAUCCCAUACGGCGGGUCUGGAGCCUUGCAGAGGUCGGUGGAAUUGCCGGUGUAGUGGUGAAAUGCGUAGAGAUCGGCAGGAACACCCAGGGGGAAAGCACUCUGCUGGGCCGACACUGACACUGAGAGACGAAAGCUAGGGGAGCGAAUGGG
This 253-nucleotide ribosomal RNA is filed under the name uncultured bacterium. RNAcentral's name for it is "partial 16S ribosomal RNA". It matches the Rfam family "Bacterial small subunit ribosomal RNA", at positions 524 to 776 of the family's 1533-position model. The record is from RNAcentral.